CCUACGGGAGGCAGCAGUGGGGAAUAUUGCACAAUGGGGGAAACCCUGAUGCAGCGACGCCGCGUGAGUGAAGAAGUAUUUCGGUAUGUAAAGCUCUGUCAGCAGGGAAGAAAAUGACGGUACCUGACCAAGAAGCCCCGGCUAACUACGUGCCAGCAGCCGCGGUAAUACGUAGGGGGCAAGCGUUAUCCGGAUUUACUGGGUGUAAAGGGAGCGUAGACGGCAGGGCAAGUCUGGAGUGAAAGGCGGGGGCUCAACCCCCGGACUGCUCUGGAAACUGCCAGGCUGGAGUGCAGGAGAGGUAAGUGGAAUUCCUAGUGUAGCGGUGAAAUGCGUAGAUAUCAGGAGGAACACCGGCGGCGAAGGCGGCCUGCUGGACUGAAACUGACGUUGAGGCUCGAAAGCGUGGGGAGCAAACAGGAUUAGAUACCCCAGUAGUC
RNAcentral lists this ribosomal RNA (440 nucleotides) under uncultured bacterium. RNAcentral describes it as "partial 16S ribosomal RNA". It matches the Rfam family "Bacterial small subunit ribosomal RNA", at positions 338 to 795 of the family's 1533-position model. The record is from RNAcentral.